RNAcentral lists this long non-coding RNA (1549 nucleotides) under Gossypium barbadense (sea-island cotton). RNAcentral's name for it is "long non-coding RNA (GBAR_LNC013516)". The record is from RNAcentral. Lineage: Eukaryota; Viridiplantae; Streptophyta; Magnoliopsida; Malvales; Malvaceae.
GGUAAAUACCAUAGGCCUUAAAAAGUUCAAAUUAGACCCAGCCCAAUUAAUUUUCUCUCCUCCAAGAACCAAACUUUUUCUUAGCAGGCAGCAGCUGACUUUCACUAAUUCACUUAACACAAAUCGUAUCUCACUCUCAGUCGAAUCAGGAAAACCCACCAUUUUCACACCUUUUUACUGUCCAUUUCUCUUCCACCACACCAAUACCCAGACCCAGGUUUGCUUUCUUCCAAUUUUCCUUUCGUUUUUUUUUCCAAUUUCUUCAAUGGGUCUUUAUUGAAUCUCUAGUUCUAGAAAUUGAUCAUUAACUUUGAUGUUUAGUAACUAGUAGAACUUUUUAGUGGUAAUGAUUUGCAAGUGUUUAGUUUAUUUUGGCAUUUUCUUUAUCUUUUUAAUCAUGUCCUUUCUUUCUUUUUUAAUUGAUAUUUCUGGCAGAUAUAUUUUAGGGUUUUGUUUUAUUUUGUUUAUUUCUUUUUAUUUCAAUGUGUGUAAGAAUGUGUGAGGAGUUGUCAAUUUCUUUCUGGGUUUUGCUUUCUUUUAUGUUAGUAAUAAUGUCUCCUUUUGUGCUUUUCUUUCAUUAUUAUUUUCAAGAAAAAUCUCAUUUUCUCUGUUAUUUUCUUCUGGGAAAAGAAAAUGUGACUUCAUCCUUGAACUCCAAAAGCGUGUUUAUAACUAUCUCUCACUUCCUUUCCACCUUUUACUCGGUAAAUGAAGAAGAAUCGAGUUUCCAUCCCUUCUUUCUCAAAUUUUUAGCUGCUCAUGUACUUGGGACUUAACUUGGAACACUGUUUUCAACUGUGUUUUAAGCUUACUUCUCUUUUAUAACUUGCUUUUCAUUUGAACAGCUUUUUUCCAUCUCAGCUUAGAUUACACGAGGGUGAACAAUGCCUACCCAGUUUUUAGUUUUCUCUAAGAAAACAUUAUAUAUAUAUGUGUGUGUGUGUGUGUGUUUAAAUACAUAUUAAAUGAGAUAUUUCCUUGAAACCUUGCAUGUCUUCAAUUAUGGGAAUCUGAGAUGUAUUCUACAAAACAAAGUAUGAGAAGAUAUUUAUGUAUUCUUCAAUUAAGGGUUUUGAAGGUUAUGGAGUUCCUCAAAUCACUGGUGGUAUGGAAGAAGACAAGUACCCUCUGAAACAAAAAAUAUAGAGAAGAAGAAAAUUUGUGUGAUACAAACGUAGAAUAAGAUAGCCUAAGCUAUUUAUGUUUUUCUUAGUUAAAACACGAAUGGGAAUUGCACAGAGGAACUCCAUUAGUCUCCAAGACUGGUGCCUAAACUGUUUCUUUUCAAUGCUGCCAUGUCUUUAAGUGUAUAUUCCUCCUUCACGUAUCUUUCUGAUUGGAGCUAAAUCAUGUUUCCCCUUCAGUUUUGGUCAGUCCUUCACCAAUGGAAAACUCUAAAUAUUUGUUUUUUCAUUCUGUUCUUCUUUGAGAAAUAAUCAGCUGUUUCUUCGGCCUAUGUAAUGUUUGUUUUUAUGUUUUUAAUUAUGUAGUGAUUUAAAAAUUUAUGUAAUAUUUUUAAUUAUGUAGUAAUUCAAUUCGGAUAAUUUAG